CUGAGUUGUAAAACUCCAACCCUUUGUCAUUCUUUACUCAAGUUGCCUCGGUAGGCGGCCCCAGGGCGGGCUCGCGCCCGCCUGCCGACGGCCAAACCACAAAAUUCUUUUAUCAUUUAGACCUGAAGAAAAUAUAAAUAAGUCA
Molecule: unclassified non-coding RNA, 145 nt
Filed under: uncultured Sordariomycetes
Lineage: Eukaryota; Fungi; Ascomycota; Sordariomycetes
Description: sequence contains ITS1
Source: RNAcentral